CUCCUUCUAUAACAUCCAUGACCCCACCAUUUGACUCCAAGAGUUGGGGUUCAGUUGGGUAAGAGCCAGGCCAUAGGUCCUCAAAACAUAGCGAAAGAAAUGAUGGAUCGACAACCUAAGACCAGCCCUAAAUAACGCUUCGCUCACAGCUACGCAGCCCGGCCUAGGAUAACAGGCUAGCUCAUCAGGCCCUGGCAAAAUUAGGCCCACACUGUCCGGGAUCCUAUACUCCUUCCUAAGUCUAUCAAGGUCGGAAAGCUUAAGUUUGGAAGGAUAAUCAAACGCCCCCCCAGUGUAUGGAAGUGUCUACCGGGCUAUCAGGAUGCCUCCAAAUGUUCUCCCCCUUAAUAUCGCCUCGGACAAUUCCUAGGAGGUCGCCAAUACUGGCUGGUCGACCUCACUAUCUCCAACUCAUCCCGAAGCGUUACUACUCUCAGAAGCCAUCUUCAGAAUUCAAAAAAUGCGAAGAACUAGAAAAAUACUUACUGAAACGAAUGGAUUGGGAUUUUCUACAAUUAGAAAAUAAGAAAUGGCCCUCUACACACGCCAGGAAACGAAAAUGUCGCCGGGAAACGCUUGAAACUCGUCAAAAAUCGCCAACAAUUCAAAAAACAAAGGGAAUUCUGAGUUCGCAAAGGUAAAAUGUUGAAAUGGCAAUAAGUUCCCCUUUUAUAGGAGAACUCAGAUGAUCCCCGUCGUUGAAUUCAAACGGAUGUCAAUUUGGACCGUUGAUCUCAUCAAAUAUCUGGAUCGUUGAAAUGAAACAUUAGAUU
RNAcentral lists this long non-coding RNA (773 nucleotides) under Olea europaea subsp. europaea. Lineage: Eukaryota; Viridiplantae; Streptophyta; Magnoliopsida; Lamiales; Oleaceae. The record is from RNAcentral.